ACUAACUGUUUUCAACUGAUUCUUACUGGAAUGAAAAGUGAAAUUAUUUCAUUGGGAUAAAUUAUUUCAAAGAGAUAAAUUCAGUCUCAACAGUUAAGAGAGAGCCUACAGAUGCUGGGCAAGUGCUUCCUCACUGAACUUGAAGCCCACUAACUGAAAAGGCAGCAGGAGUCACCUGUUAUCCCAAGUGCCUUGUUAAAGGGGAAGGUUCGGAAACAACAUCCAUCACUGAGAGGCAAGAGAAAUUUAAUGCCCAAGAAGUGGUUUUCCCUUGAGUCAAGAAGAGGCAAAGGGUUUCAGAGAGAGAGAGUUGCACAAGAGAGUCAAAAACAAUGAGGACUUCAUGAAGUCUUAUCUCAAGUGCCUAUGGUGCCAACGAAGCGUAUGCCUUCAAAGAAAAAUAGAACCCCUGACUAAACAAGCCAGCAGAUGACAACAAAAUAAUACUACUUCAUGUCAACAGCUAUCUAAAGUAGCUUAAACUCAUAGGUUUUAAAAAUCACGGAUUAAAAAUAUGGAAAAAUAAAGCAAAGAAAAUAAAGCAAAAACAUAGAAAUAGAUUUGUAACACAAAGCCAUAAGGUCCUGUGUGAUUGCCAGAAGUCAUUUCUAAAAUGAGACAUUACUUUCUUCAGCGCCAACAGGGAAGAAGGAACGGCUAAGCAUGAGAUUCACUGCUGAAUGAUGACAAAGGCUGUUUUAGGCAUGUGAUAGGACUUUGCAUUGCAGCCAUAUAUGUGAUUUCACAUGUGGAAGUGUCUCACAGCUUAUUAAGUGUCAAUCUAUCAGACCUUUGUUUUAAGAUUACAAUUUCAUGAAGACAAAACAGUUUCUCUGUCAUUAAUGACUCUGUUUCAACACAUCAGCUUCUCAAUUUUCAAAGAGAUCUUUGUAUUUGCAUUAAUCUUUGU
RNAcentral lists this long non-coding RNA (910 nucleotides) under Mus spretus (western wild mouse). Its description in RNAcentral is "RIKEN cDNA 4930521E06 gene (ENSMSPG00010013480.1)". The record is from RNAcentral. Lineage: Eukaryota; Metazoa; Chordata; Mammalia; Rodentia; Muridae.